Molecule: ribosomal RNA, 496 nt
Filed under: uncultured bacterium
Lineage: Bacteria
Description: partial 16S ribosomal RNA
Rfam family: Bacterial small subunit ribosomal RNA
Source: RNAcentral
GAUGAACGCUGGCGGCGUGCCUAAUACAUGCAAGUCGAGCGAACAGACGAGGAGCUUGCUCCUCUGACGUUAGCGGCGGACGGGUGAGUAACACGUGGAUAACCUACCUAUAAGACUGGGAUAACUUCGGGAAACCGGAGCUAAUACCGGAUAAUAUAUUGAACCGCAUGGUUCAAUAGUGAAAGACGGUUUUGCUGUCACUUAUAGAUGGAUCCGCGCCGCAUUAGCUAGUUGGUAAGGUAACGGCUUACCAAGGCAACGAUGCGUAGCCGACCUGAGAGGGGGAUCGGCCACACUGAAACUGAGACACGGUCCAGACUCCUACGGGAGGCAGCAGUAGGGAAUCUUCCGCAAGGGGCGAAAGCCUGACGGAGCAACGCCGGGGGGGUGAUGAAGGUCUUCGGAUCGUAAAACUCUGUUAUUAGGGAAGAACAAAUGUGUAAGUAACUAUGCACGUUUUGACGGUACCUAAGCAGAAAGCCACGGCUAACUACGU